Molecule: microRNA precursor, 102 nt
Filed under: Marmota monax (woodchuck)
Lineage: Eukaryota; Metazoa; Chordata; Mammalia; Rodentia; Sciuridae
Source: RNAcentral
AUACACACACAGAGGAAUUACAUUUAAAAUGCAGAUUCUGAUUCAGUAAGUCUUGGGGGGCUGAGAUUCAGCAUUUAUAACAAGUUCCCAAGUGAUGCUAAU